UACGGGGGGGGCAAGCGUUGUUCGGAAUUACUGGGCGUAAAGCGUGCGCAGGCGGUGAUGUAAGACAGGUGUGAAAUCCCCGGGCUUAACCUGGGAACUGCAUUUGUGACUGCAUCGCUGGAGUGCGGCAGAGGGGGAUGGAAUUCCGCGUGUAGCAGUGAAAUGCGUAGAUAUGCGGAGGAACACCGAUGGCGAAGGCAAUCCCCUGGGCCUGCACUGACGCUCAUGCACGAAAGCGUGGGGAGCAAACAGG
Molecule: ribosomal RNA, 253 nt
Filed under: uncultured bacterium
Lineage: Bacteria
Description: partial 16S ribosomal RNA
Rfam family: Bacterial small subunit ribosomal RNA
Source: RNAcentral